RNAcentral lists this unclassified non-coding RNA (210 nucleotides) under Hevea brasiliensis (rubber tree). The record is from RNAcentral. Lineage: Eukaryota; Viridiplantae; Streptophyta; Magnoliopsida; Malpighiales; Euphorbiaceae.
GAAAAAUCCUGCUAGAAACAAAGUCAGUGAGUUGCAACAGCCAAUAAAUACUUUGAUCCCCGGACGGCCUCCUGCCCCUAUGAUGUGGAAAAAUCGAUAUGCACCCAAUGAGGUGCCCCGGAAAAACGAAUCUGAUUCUGAGGGACUUUUUCCAAAGAAGAACGGUGGAUCUAGUGGGUAUAAUAUAUCAUCAAUCGCAUCUACCAGCUC